GCCGGAGUGCUUGCACUUUGGCAGACUGAGUGGCGGACGGGUGAGUAACGCGUGGGUAACCUGCCUUAUACAGGGGGAUAACAGUUGGAAACGACUGCUAAUACCGCAUAAGCGCACGGUAUCGCAUGAUACAGUGUGAAAAACUCCGGUGGUAUAAGAUGGACCCGCGUCUGAUUAGCUUGUUGGUGAGGUAACGGCCCACCAAGGCGACGAUCAGUAGCCGGCCUGAGAGGGUGAACGGCCACAUUGGGACUGAGACACGGCCCAAACUCCUACGGGAGGCAGCAGUGGGGAAUAUUGCACAAUGGGGGAAACCCUGAUGCAGCGACGCCGCGUGAGUGAUGAAGUAUUUCGGUAUGUAAAACUCUAUCAGCAGGGAAGAUAAUGACGGUACCUGACUAAGAAGCCCCGGCUAACUACGUGCCAGCAGCCGCGGUAAUACGUAGGGGGCAAGCGUUAUCCGGAUUUACUGGGUGUAAAGGGAGCGUAGACGGAUGGACAAGUCUGAUGUGAAAGGCUGGGGCUCAACCCCGGGACUGCAUUGGAAACUGCCCGUCUUGAGUGCCGGAGAGGUAAGCGGAAUUCCUAGUGUAGCGGUGAAAUGCGUAGAUAUUAGGAGGAACACCAGUGGCGAAGGCGGCUUACUGGACGGUAACUGACGUUGAGGCUCGAAAGCGUGGGGAGCAAACAGGAUUAGAUACCCUGGUAGUCCACGCGGUAAACGAUGAAUGCUAGGUGUCGGGUGACGAA
This 750-nucleotide ribosomal RNA is filed under the name uncultured Lachnospiraceae bacterium. Its description in RNAcentral is "bacterial SSU rRNA". It matches the Rfam family "Bacterial small subunit ribosomal RNA", at positions 70 to 834 of the family's 1533-position model. The record is from RNAcentral. Lineage: Bacteria; Bacillati; Bacillota; Clostridia; Lachnospirales; Lachnospiraceae.